Molecule: small RNA, 490 nt
Filed under: Pongo abelii (Sumatran orangutan)
Lineage: Eukaryota; Metazoa; Chordata; Mammalia; Primates; Hominidae
Description: retained intron
Source: RNAcentral
GAGGGGGAGGGGAGGUGUUUAGGGGAAAGUAGGGGCUUUGGGUGUUGGGAGCCGGCUGACGGGUGGACAAGGAGGGGUUAGCAGCUGGGCUGCGACCGUUAGCGAGGGGCUCAAGGUGUGCAUGUGUGAGGGAAGAGGGAGAGAGAGAAGGGCGCUUCAGAGGUGACUUUCAGCCUGCGAGCCUUCUUCCCGGGGCGCCAUAAAAGCCCCCAAUUUCCCAGCUGCUAAAGGAAGAAGAAGAUUCAACCCUAUGAAAAGAUAAAGGCCAGGGGCUUGCCUGAUAAUAUAUCUUCUGUGUUGAACAAACUAGUGGUGGUGAAACUCAAUGGUGGUUUGGGAACCAGCAUGGGCUGCAAAGGCCCUAAAAGUCUGAUUGGUGUGAGGAAUGAGAAUACCUUUCUGGAUCUGACUGUUCAGCAAAUUGAAGUGAGUAACAUUUAGCCUUUCUCAUGAGAUACUAAAAUAGUUUUUAGUUUUUAUCAUAAAUGUU